ACCUUUUCACUGAUUUAAUCCAUUUUACAAAUGUAAUGCUAUGUCAAUUCACCAAAUAUUUAAAUGUUUUAUUUUCUUAUUUUGUCAGGGUGAACCCAGAGAAGCUGACAAGCGUGCAGCAGAAGCUGGAGGCCUCCUGGCCCAAGAGAAGGAAGAGAAGGAGCGAGCGCAGAGGUGUUUUGUCUCCUACCUGCGCUCCGUCUACCUACGAAGAACAAAGACGUCUUUGAUGUGUUCCAGCUCAAGCUCCAGGUGUACGCAGCGUGAGUAAGAUGGAGACGGGCCAUUUUGAGCUCUUAGCUGUCGACCGGUGCAGGAGCAUUUUCUUCAUAUGUUGUAAUUGUUCACGUCUUCCCAGUUCCCAAUACUGACAGACUGUAAGCCAGGCCACAAUAUGCCUGUUAUUUGUGCAUGUGAUGGUACUCAGACAGUACAUCAUUAUGUAGGAUGUCCGCAAGGGCUGUGGCGGUCAUGAAAUUUCGUCAGCUGGUGAUUGUCAAGCAAAUAACUGCCAGUCUCACGUUAAUUAAUAUAAACACAUUUAGCAUCUUUUGGCUUCUACAUGUAGCCUACGAGGCACUGAUGCAGACCUUUGGGAUAUCUACAUUUUAAUAAGUCUAGUAAAUCCAUUUAAUAUAACCUACACCCUCAUAAUAAAUCAAUUAUUUUAGACUGGUCUAAAGAAACAUGAUAUGAACAAAAUGUAGUAUAUUUCAGAAGAACACAUUAGCAUACUCUUGAGUUGCCCUGAUCUGGCUAUGCCAUAUGGCUGUGGGCUACAUUAGUUCAUUUAGCAGACAUGAUUUGCUUAGAAUUCUGUGGCAUUAUUUUAUAGUAUGAAGAAUACAAUUGAACAUAGCUGAAUAAAAUAAAAAGGAUGUUUUCUCCAAAUAAUUUCUGAGGGAGUGCACAAAUGCGGCUAUUCUGUGUUCAGCGGUUAACAAAGAAACAGGUCCUCCUAUAUUCUUAGUUUAGUUAUUUAUGCAACUUUAGUUGUGAUACAAAUGUUGGGCUAUACAGUGCAUUCGGAAAGUAUUUAGACCCCUUGACUUUUUCCACAUUUUGUUACGUUACAGCCUUAUUCUAAAAUUUAUGAUUUUUUUUCUAUCAAUCUAGUCACAAUACCCCAUAAUGACAAAGUGAAACAGGUUUUUAGAAAUGUUGGUAAAUUUAGUAACAAUAAAAAACGGAUACCUUAUUUACGUAAGUAUUCAGACCCUUUGCUUUGAGACUCAAAAUUGAGCUCUGGUGCGUCCUGUUUCCAUUGGUCAUCCUUGAUGUUUCUACAACUUGGAGUCCACCUGUUGUAAAUUCAAUUGAUUUGACAUGAUUUGGAAAGGCAGAUGCCUGUCUAUAUAAGGUCCCUCUGUUGACAGUGCAUGUCUGAGCAAAAACCGGUCGAAGGAAUUGUCCGUAGUGCUCCGAGACAGGAUUGUGUCGAGGCACAGAUCUGGGGAAGGGUACCAAAACAUUUCUGCAGCAUUUAAGGUCCCCAAGAACACCAUGGUCUCCAUCAUUCUUAAAUGGAGGAAGUUUGGAACCACUGAGACUCUUCCUAGAGCUGGCCGCCCGGCCAAACUGAGCAAUCGGGGGAGAAGGGCCUUGGUCAGGGAGGUGACCAAGAACCUGAUGGUCACUCUGACAGAGCUCUAGAGUUCCUCUGUGGAGAUGGGAGAACCUUUGUCAGAACAGAAAUUACAAGAUUAUAUUCUAAUACUGGUAUGGCGUCAAAUGGUGGAACAGAAUAGGGGGUUCUUAGAACACUUUCAUCUGUGUGUGUUCUACUGAGGAUGGGCCUCUGAUUUAAUGCUGACAGAAGCUUUACUGUGUCUUUGGGUCAUAAUCCUAACAAUACUGCAUUCCAUAGCAUGAGUUAAUGUUUCUGUACUGGGGUACCAAGGGGAGAUGGCUCCAGUAUUGAGUUGGGGGCCAGACUCUGGUUUAUUUACAAUGAGAUCAGUUUUUACAGCAGAUACUGUUUGCUGUGAAUUAUUACUAUCUUUCAUACGAAUCUUAACCUUGUGACCCAUUCCAUACAUCUGUUUGUCAUGAACAUCCAGGAGGAUGGACUUUGCUAUAAAAUGCUGUGGCUUAGUCCUUCUGGUUGGGCUCUCAACGAGUCACCUAUGGGGGGCUCGUUGACAAGCUCCAUUACUGCAG
Long non-coding RNA from Salmo trutta (river trout), 2160 nucleotides. The record is from Ensembl. NCBI's taxonomy places the organism in Eukaryota, Metazoa, Chordata, Actinopteri, Salmoniformes, Salmonidae.